RNAcentral lists this ribosomal RNA (206 nucleotides) under uncultured bacterium. RNAcentral's name for it is "partial 16S ribosomal RNA". It matches the Rfam family "Bacterial small subunit ribosomal RNA", at positions 568 to 773 of the family's 1533-position model. The record is from RNAcentral.
CGCGUAGGCGGUCAGUGCAAGUCAGUUGUGAAAUCUCCGGGCUUAACUCGGAAAGGUCAACUGAUACUGCUCGACUAGAGUGCGGAAGGGGCAACUGGAAUUCUUGGUGUAGCGGUGAAAUGCGUAGAUAUCAAGAGGAACACCUGCGGCGAAGGCGGGUUGCUGGGCCGACACUGACGCUGGGGCGCGAAAGCUAGGGAGCAACG